This 253-nucleotide ribosomal RNA is filed under the name uncultured bacterium. Its description in RNAcentral is "partial 16S ribosomal RNA". It matches the Rfam family "Bacterial small subunit ribosomal RNA", at positions 524 to 776 of the family's 1533-position model. The record is from RNAcentral.
UACGUAGGGUGCAAGCGUUAAUCGGAAUUACUGGGCGUAAAGCGUGCGCAGGCGGUUUUGUAAGGCAGAGGUGAAAUCCCCGGGCUUAACCUGGGAACUGCCUUUGUGACUGCAAGGCUUGAGUGCGGCAGAGGGGGAUGGAAUUCCGCGUGUAGCAGUGAAAUGCGUAGAUAUGCGGAGGAACACCGAUGGCGAAGGCAAUCCCCUGGGCCUGCACUGACGCUCAUGCACGAAAGCGUGGGGAGCAAACAGG